This 1071-nucleotide ribosomal RNA is filed under the name Triticum aestivum (bread wheat). RNAcentral describes it as "partial small subunit ribosomal RNA". The record is from RNAcentral. Lineage: Eukaryota; Viridiplantae; Streptophyta; Magnoliopsida; Poales; Poaceae.
AUGACGAGGCGGUGCUCGCACUGCAGCAACAACGGCCACAACGCGCGGACCUGCCCCGCCCGCUCCGGCGGCGGCGUGAGGCUCUUCGGCGUGCACCUCACGUCGCCGCCGGUGGCCGCGAUGAAGAAGAGCGCGAGCAUGAGCUGCAUCGCGUCGUCGCUCGGCGGCGGCGGGUCCGGGGGCUCGUCGCCGGCCGCGGGGCCGGGGGGCGGCGAGGGCGCGCCGGGGUACGUCUCCGACGACCCCAUGCACGCCUCCUGCUCGACCAAUGGCCGGGCCGAGCGCAAGAAAGGUACACCUUGGACUGAAGAAGAGCAUAGGUUGUUUCUACUGGGUCUGCAGAAGCUUGGCAAAGGAGACUGGCGUGGGAUAUCUCGUAGUUUUGUUGUCUCAAGGACCCCAACUCAGGUGGCCAGCCACGCCCAGAAGUACUUCAUUAGACAGACAAACUUCUCAAGACGGAAGAGGAGGUCAAGCUUGUUUGACAUGGUCCCGGAAAUGCCAAUGGAUGAGUCCCCUGAUGGCGCGGAAGAGUUUACGCUCUGCACCACUCAAGAUGAAACAACAAGUUCAAAUAAACUUUCGCUGUUUCAUCUCGGGCGACAGAAGGAAGCAGAGUGUGAUAAAGAUCUGCCAACUUUGCAACUAAGGCAGCACGAGGAAUCUGAAUAUGCAGGGCCUUCAUUAGAAGCACCAGAUUUGGAGAUGAACAAUGGUGUAUCAUUCAAGGCCGCAUCUGUCUCGACAGUUCCAGCGUUCUACCCUGCAUUGCUCCCUGUUCCACUAACACUUUGGCCUGCGAACGUUUCUAAUGUGGAAGCAGCAAACGCAACCCAUGAAGUCCUAAAGCCCACUCCUGUAAAUUUAAAGGAGGCAAUUAAGGCGGAUGAGGUUGUCAGUAUGUCCAAGCUCAGCAUUGGUGGGGGUACCUCUGGCUCAAUGGAACCUUCUGCUCUUUCCCUUCAGCUUACCGGGCCGACAAAUACAAGACAAUCAGCUUUUCAUGUGAGCCCACCAAUGACUAGAACUGACCUUAGUCAGGGAAACAACAGCCCAAUCCAUGCAGUUUGA